AUCAUAAAAUGACGGGAUGAAUGUAGCUUCGAUCUCGGUUGAAGUGUUUUAUAGCCUCUGGUAGAUGUGAUGAUCGGGAUUGAGGAUUGCAACGAAUACCUUUUAGGCUACCCGCCUGACCUCUGAUGGUUGCUAUGGUGCCGAAAGCUUGCUUACGGUUAUCAGAGUUGAUUGUCAAAAGGUUAGAACGGGUUAAAUUCGUUAAGGAUGUUGACGUAAUGGCUUUAAACGACCCGUCUUGAAACACGG
RNAcentral lists this ribosomal RNA (249 nucleotides) under Glomeraceae sp. RNAcentral's name for it is "partial large subunit ribosomal RNA". Lineage: Eukaryota; Fungi; Glomeromycota; Glomeromycetes; Glomerales; Glomeraceae. The record is from RNAcentral.